UUGAAAUAUUAUUUUGAAAUUAAAUUAUAAUUAUAAUAUUAUUUUGAAAGCUAUUAAGGAAAAUAAUUUAUCUAUUCAACAAGUCGCUUUAGAAUUUCAUAUUCUCAUCGUUACUACUACUGAAAUGUGACAAUUACCUAUACUACUACUGAAAUGUGACAAUUACCUAUACUACUACUGAAAUUACCUAUACUCGGAGUUGAUUGUCAUACGUAGAAUUUUCUUGUAGUAACGAUAAUUAUAUUAAGUUCUAAAGCAGCUUGUUGAUAAUAUAAAUUAUUUAUUUUAUAUUUAAAAAAUUGAAUUGAGUUAAAAAAUUUAAUCAAGUUAACAACUUUUUUCUCAGUAAAUGAUACAUUCAGAACUAAUUUUUUUUUUUUUUUUGAACUCAAGGGAUGCAAAUGACGUAUCAUAAUGUAUAUAUAGCGUUGAAAAAUCUUCCAUCCACUUUCUCGUAAAAAUCACCGUUAAAAAAUCUUAUGAUAAUCUAUCCCAGUUUUCUCUUCGUGCCCGCACGAAUCGGCGCGGGUCGAUCGGCGGAAUCACGCGCGGCGAAGACCGAGAAUGGAAGCCCGUGCAUGCGACAUCGACGUAGGCGGAGGACGAGGCGGGAGGGCAAGAUCGCGAAGACGAAGGGCGAAACAAUCCGGCCGAGCAACCUACGUGCUUCCGCCGGUUCUCCGCUGACUGCUUCCACUUGCUCGCCACUGCAUUUACGUCCGUCCAUUACCGUCUGCCUCCGUCGUAAUAAACAGAGACGGAAUCACCGACGGCGGCAGAGAUGUGCAAAAUCAUCGUGAAAAUAAAUACCUGUUAGAAGAGGCUUCGACGUCGAUCGCGAUAAUUGUGACACUUGGCGGACACGUCGUAGGAAAAUUUUUCUGACGUUGAUAUCAACGAUCGUUCUAAAGUGAUACGGACUGUGGCUGUUCAAUCGUGUAACUUUUUCAGAGAUAAUUCAUUUUACUUCUAGCAAAAUUCUUUUGCGCAAAAUCAAACGUGUUUCUAUGUCGACGACACCAACGAGGCAUGUCCGAACGAAUGUUCUAAACUUGUACUACUUAAAUUGAAGUUGUACCGUUUAGUUUAUUAUAUAUAAGACGAUAAAAGAGAAAAGUGGCCGUGCGCUACAAAGCCUUGAACUGUAACAAGUUUCCUUUGAAAGGUAUUCUUGAAUUCUGUUCCUUAGGAUGAAUUUCCGUUGACAGACGUUUGAAACUCGUGCUUAGAUAUCCGCUGAUUGAUAUGCUGAUCGACCUUGCAAAUCUUUCCUAAGGCUUUAAGUUCAGAGAAGAGAAAAAAAACGACAGAAUGCGAAACGAAUAUAAAUCACGCCGUAAAACGGAGGUAAUUUUGUGAACCUUUUAGAGGCUUCGAGCGUGUCUAGAUUCGUUGGGGCGUGGAUACGCGGGUAGGGAGAAAAAAAUUAGGUCGUCGCUUUGCGCGUCUCGGCACGAUUAUAUUCAGAUCUAACAAAAGCUCCUCCGGGUCAGCGUCUCGAUUCUACUGUCGUAAUUUACGUAACAAUCAUGAAAAUAACAAUGCCACAUUGAGAAAAAUGAUUUGAUUACACCAACAAGACAUGUAUGAUUGAGUGCGUUUUAAUGAAAACCAAGCAAAAUUUCUGAUUAUUAUAAUAGGACUCAAGGUUUUAUAACUAAAAUCAUUUGAUAGACUUUGUUAUAAUCCAUACAAUUUAUGGAAGAUUUUUUAUUCGUCUAUUUUUGGAUUGACAUAUAUUGGCCGAAUACAGAGAUUUUCAAUUAAUGCAACGAGACUUUUUUUCAGGUCGGUAUUACGUAAAUUCUAAAAGCUCAAAUAUUCAAAUCUCGUCACGCACUCGAGGAAUAAUCAUUAUUUAUUACAUUUAUAAAAAUUAUUAAUGCCGCGUCAGACGUUUCGCAAAGAAGUGUAAUUUUUUAAGCGGAUUGAACAAAAUUCUUCUUUUACAGGGUAUAAGACGCAACAGAGUGCACGUUAUAACGGCACAGUGCAGUAUAUUAUAGCGCGUUACACACCGCUGACACAAGCUAAAUCAAUGAACUUGGCUGUAAUGGUUAACGAAAUGUCGCCGCACGGCCAAGCACACGUACACUCAUGGUCCACCGGACAUUUGUAGCUAUUGGAGAUAUCCGGAGGCGUCCUUGGCCCGAUAAACGGAAGCUCAUUUAUCCGGGCAGCCGCGAGUCCAUUCCUGGACGGAUAAUUAAGCGAAGACACGCGAAUCCCGACUAUAGGGAUCUAACUCCUCUUAAUCCUUUUCCCGGCCCGCGGGGCGAGCAUCUCGUUUAUCGCGUUAUAUUCUUUCUCGGUCUCAUAAAAGAUAUCGAUUACCGUAAAUAGACUCUUUUGGUAAUUAUCGGCGCACGGGUUAUCGCACAGUUCCGUGGCAGAGACGAAAACCUGUCUGAUAAGAGACCGAAUUACGUAAGACAUUGUUAUGCGCGCGAUAUUAUGAAAUACUUUGAGAAAAUUAUAGUAGAUGGGCAAUUUUUUCUGAAAUCGCAUCACUCGUCCAAAUGUCUUGUUUUAAAAAAUUAUAAUAAUACAAAAAAUAUAAAAGAAAUUACACACAAAAGAAAAGAAAAUAUUGAUGUAAACUAAAUGUUUUUUAUAAGUUCUAAGCCCUUUAUAUAAAAAGCGGUGUGAUUUCACCAAUCUUCCCCAAUUUAAUAAUCAGUUCCACUUCACACACGGAGUACACAAUACAUUUUGACAGAACGGUGCAAUAUAUUACCGUUUGUUCGUGAUGCAAUAAAAAACCUUGCCGAGAAAAAUUGCCAUGCCAUCAGAUGGAUAGAUACGAGACCGGUAUAAAAAGAAGGAAAUUGAUGAGAAGCAAGGACGAGGGGAGGGAGGAAGAGUGAGAGAAAUGAAAGAGCGAGAGUCCGAGAGAACGGAAUCUAAGGGAGCAACGUGGAAAAAUCGAAAGCUCGUGUUCUUUCAUACUCGUUUCGACAGCACACACAACGGCGACAGCUGUGGAAGCGUGCUUUUCGACCGCUCCAUUGGGAGCUUGCUCGCAGUGGUGGUGGUUCGCUCGCAACAAGACCGGGUUUGCCGUGUUUCCCGAGGGACAACAGGAACAGCGCGCGCCUCGGAUAGCAACUUUCUUGGGAAAUCGACGAUGGAUCGGUGUAUAAUUCGACGUCGACUUGGCGAGCGUCAAGCGUCUGGCUCGACGUAGCAAUUAUUACUGUCCGCAGCCUCGAUGGAGGAACUACGUAGCUUAAUUGAAGAAUUAGUUUAGGGAGCCCGACUCACGCUCGCGUUCCCGGGAACGGUCGGCGUACGCGUAACACGCGCAGAAAAUCGCAUCUCGCGUGAUAAUUCGGGACAUUCGACGAAUAUCAAGACGCUGAGGGCGACGAUAAUGAAGCUCUUCACGAAAUAUGAGCAGGUGUUGCGUGCACAAUAGAAUGUGAAAUUGCGAAAAGAAAGGAAUUUAAUAUUAAGAAAUGAGCGAGAGAAAACGUUUAAAAAAAUGUUGCAUAAAAAUUAUACUUAAAUUAAUUCAUGUUAUAAGUUUACUUCGUGUUAUAAAUUAAUUCAUGUUAUAAGUUACUUAUCGCAUCCGUAUUAGAUUAUAUUAUACCAAAUAAAUAAGAAUUAUAUAUAGUAGUAACUUUGUAUAACUUUAGUUUCUUGAAUUAUUAGCACUAGCACCUUUGCAGAAACCGUUGAACGGAAAAUACGCUUCUUCCGUUUAUCGACGUUGACCAUGAUGCGUUCGAUAAUUCUUCAUGCACGACUGUAAGUGGGUUAAGACGCAGUACAGUCAUACCGUUGCCGCAAAACUUAGAAUUAUGAAUUCUAUCAUUCAUUUAAGAAAUCAUAGCUUUCUUAUAUUGACCUUGCGUAGAUGUAAGUACAUUUCUUGUAAAAAACAUGUAUUAAUUUAUUGAUAUCUCUGUUAGAAAUUUUAAAAUGUUAUUUGUUAUAUGCACAAUAAAUACUGCAAACAUCGAAUUUAAAGAAAUGUAACAAUGUAUAAUGUUAAAAUUACUCCAUCAGUUAAUAAACAAAUAAGAAUGCAUAUAUAUAUAUAUAUAUAUAUGCAUUAUAAUUCACAACAUAUAUUGUGAAUAUAUGAAUACAUUCACAAUAUAUCACUACAGAAUAACUGUAUAUUUAUUCUGUCCAUUUAUUCAAAAUAAUCAUACUUACCUGUAUCAGCAGAGAAUGAAGGAAGCAAGGAUGUAUAUAAAACAUAAAGGAAUGUACCUUACAGCUCUGUAAACAGAUAAGACUUGAUAACUAUUCAAUUAAUUUAUUUGCACUUAUCGUGAUUAUCACUCGUAAGUAUUAGAGAUACGUAAACAAUUAGUUUGAAUUAACUUAAAUACAAAUAAUCUAAGAUACAUCGUCGCUGUUACUUCUUUCUCUUUUUCAUUAACGUCAUAUUCACAGAUAAAAGCGCGAUUGCAAUCGCCAAUACUUUAUUUCUUUCUUUUACCUCUUUUUAUAUUAUUAUAUAUUAUUUUUAUACGUACACAAUCAAUUCGUAUUGAUCUCGCCGAAAGAAUUACAGAUCUUUUUCCAUGGAGAUCCAUUUCUUUGAAGGAUGUUUAUUGUUGCAAAUUGUUGUGAACAACUACCGUGAUGAACGUCCGCAUGAUGCGAACGCGUAAUAUACAGUCACGAAACUAACUGUCCAGGCACAGAAUAUAGAAGUUUAUUUCGUGCAACAAAUUAAUGAGAUGUUAUACUACUUGAGUGGAAAUAAAAACUCUAGUGAUGCAUUUCCAUCAAAAGUACGCUUUUAAUUUGUAUAAAUAAUAUCUUGUGUUCGGACGAUUAAUUUCGUGACUGUAUACGUCAUUCCGUUCGAGUCGAUUUAACUUUACUUAGGAAACGAAUGAAUGAAAUCAAAACAAACGCGCAUGAAGAUUCAUGGACAGCUCGAUGUGUAUUUCAUGUUUCUCGCAAGUAAAGAUAGACAGUCAAUUGUAAAUAUAGAAAAUGCUGAGACAUUUCUAGAACAUUUAACACAUUAUGCAAAAGUUUCGUUUUUUCAAUAUACGAAUACUCGCUUGUGUUUAUUAUUACCAGCCUUGAUCAAUUAAGUUUCGAGUCCAGUCUCAUUACAUACAGUAUAAUUAGGAUCUAUAAAACGAUCUACAAUUAAAUUCGGAGACCGUUGAUCAACGCUGAUCCCAGAUCGCUGUAAACAAAACGAGCAGUAGCGCAUCACGCAGAUAACCGUCUGUCGUAAUUAUUGCUUUAAAGAUGACUACGUAGACCACUACAAAUGCACUUUGUGAUCUGAGAGCCGCCGAUUACAGCGAUAAACUUUUACAUAGACACACGUAGAAUAAUAUCUGCUUACAAGAACUUAUUUCGGGAGGGAAUGGAGGGCGUUGAAAAAUCGUGGAAAAAAAACCUACUUAAAUUAUGAGCAUAAGUCGCAGAGCGAGAUUGCGACUUGAUAAACCCGCGGGAGAUUUUAUAUAUUCUUAUAUAAACUUUUCAUGCAUUUUACGACUACUUACAUGUAUCAUUACAAUCUAUUCGUAUCGAUUUCUGCGCUCAUCAAUGGGAGACCCUCUCUCAGCCAUUCGCUUUCAUUUUCAAGAACGGCAAUCGCGAUGCGUAAAAAAGUGUCACUUUUACACUGCACUACUGUACGUCCGAAUACAGACACCUAUAGAAAACUUGAAAAAAAAAAUUAUCUCGAUAAAUGAUCCCUCGAUAAAUAAAUUAAUUAAUUACCCGUAGUUUUGAUUGUAAUAAAUUUGACAUUACAAAUACUUCAAAGCAUUUCAUUUACCAAUCAGAACACAAAGAAUUUUAUUAUAAUUGAUCAAUGAAAGAAUUUUACAAGGCAUUUAUAGGGUCAACUUGACUAUAUUCUUUCGUUGGUGUUAUUUUUCAAUUUGGAACACAAACAUCAAAAUAAAUAUUUUAUCAUCUAAAGCGUAAUACAAUUAAAAAUCUCUCUAUCACCUAAUUUUACGAUGAUAUUCAGGAUGGAAAGAGAGGCAGAUGCGGUGUAUGUUACUUGAAAUCUGCUUGAAAAAUGGCGUACGAUGUCAUUAGUACUCUACUUAACGGUUGUGGUCAUCCGCUGCGAAUUGGUUGAUCAAUUAAUCGGAGGUACGCGUAGAAUUAGAUAUCGUGCUCUCGUUACCUCGCGUAACAGAGCAUCGAUUUCCCACGCGAAGUAACGAUGUCGAAGACAUGUGUUGUACGUCUAUAACUAGCUGUCGAUUUGCAAGCGUUAAACUUCAUCGCCGCGCUGCUCGAUAGAAGAUGAUAAAUAAAUAAAUCAGCGAUAACGAGAGCUAAUCGAUCCCGAGAUCGCACUGCGCAAGUCCGUCCGAGGAUGCACUCGAUAAAACGUUGCGGCAAGAGACGGAUGAUACCCAUUCCAUCGAUCAAAUAUACUUGCAUUUAAAUUAUAGCAAAUAAAUUUUCUCAAGAUGAUCGAUUUUUUUCUUGUAAUAUAUAAAAACAGCGAAUUGGUAACUCACAAUUUGAUUUCUUGCGCGAAAUUAUUAAUUGUCUGAAACAAAGUUUUUAAUUUACCUGUUUAAAAAAAAAGUCAUUUAACUUACCCGUAAAACUGGCUAAAAUUUUUCUUAGUAUUACGCCAAUGAUUUCUUAAUUAAUUUGACCUCAUAUUUCAAAAUUGGAUUUUCGUAAAUUAUUUUACCCUGCGAGAAGAUUAUGUUAUUACGAAAGAGAAAAGACGUUAUCGUUAUACCGAUUCGUGUCGAGAGCGACGUAGUUUAAUAAACGCGCGCGUAUUUACGGGUUAAUGAAAAUCGCGCUUUCGAAGCCGUUUGCAACAAUUGGCAGGUCACGCACACCCGUUUUACCGAGUCGAAUGCCUUCGGCAUUCGAAUUGCCUUCCUGUCAUUACGCACGGUGCCCGACAAGGUCCGAACGUCCCGCAAACGUGAAUGAGAAGCUAGAUGUCGGGCGUUAUACGCAUUCCCCAUUUCCUAAUCGGAAGUUUCAAUGCAAAAGUGAAGCGAGUCCACAAUUUAUAAGGUCUACUUUAGAGAGAGAUAGACUGUAUCAUACUCACAAGGCUAAACUAAAUUUUUUUAAUUUACUUCUCUCCUACGUAUAAUCCAUGGUUACACAAAUUCGACGAUGUUUUUGCGGUCUUUUGCGACAAUAAAAUGAAAUAUAUUGAGUAGAAAUGUAAAUUAAAUUGAAACUGUUAAUAGAAAAAUAUCUCUCUUCUUUUGACCCAGAAAUAAGUUUGUUUUAGAUGACACACAAAAAGGAAGCUUCACGAAUUACAGAUUUACCUCAUUUUCGCCCUGAAUCUUUACAUUUUGUUUUCAUCAUUUCGACAAGGUUUACUCCAUUUUUUUACGUCAUACUGGCUUUAUUAUCGGAUGAAAAGAGCCGGAUGGUACUAUUUAUCGUGAUGAAAUUUCUUCUGCUCCGUCACAGUAAAACUUGACAUGAAAAAAUAGACAUUUUUUAUAGAUUAUACUUGUACACAUAAUAUACAGUGUAGGGAUUGUCUACGAUAGAAUAAGACGAUAGGGGCCAUUUCGUGGCCAUUUCGAGUAUAUAAAUAUACUCUAAAAAUAUUUUCUACACAAAUAUAAUUCUUGCUUCCCCUGGAAAUAGCCGAGACCACCGCUGUGAUAAGUAUAACGAAAAACGUCAUAUAUGGCGAUGCAACAUCCGCGCGCGGGUGCUUUGCGCUCGGUUUGGUCACGGACACUUAAUCAUCCCAUCUGUGCGUUAUGUGGGAGUUAGAAGCAAAAGUGAUGUAAGUCAAAAGUCUCGUAAAUCGCGUCGAAGAAGAAAUCUCAAUCGACUUGGGCGGCCAUUUACGUGGCGUGUGAAUCUCAUUGUCGUUAACGCGGCGUAGACAGUCAGUCUGAAAUCUGUUUUUUUGUUUUUCAACGACAAAUGUGCGAUAUCCGUAGACAUCGCGAUCUCGUGAUAAGCGCGUUAUCAUUUAAUCCUCGCAAAUCUUCGUCAAUUGUAAAAUGUUUAAUGGGAAUGCACGAGGAUACAUAUUCAAAAAUACGUAUUCAAAAUACGGACGAGCCAAAUGACGAAAUGGUUAUCAAUCAAAUUUAUUCUCCAGCUGAGUCUUAUCAAUUAUCACGUUCGAAGCGCGGGCUUAGCCUCGUUCGUCAACGGUUUUAACAGCGAGUAACGAGUUGUGUACUCCGCGAAUUAAUGCCGCGCGUAGCUAACAAUAGAACACGCGCAUCUCUCCCGCGGCGCCUGCGAUUGCAUCCUCUAUGCAACGAAUUACAUAAUGAGGCACAAACGGCAUUCCGCCACGUAAUCACGAAACAUAUUUGCGAUUACAGCGAUGGUGCUUUGUCGGAAACGAUGAUGUCUAUGCCGCGAGCACGGGAAUUAUUUAUAAGGUGAACGGAGAGGAAGGAGAAAACUCGUUUCCGCGAAGUGGAAAAUUUUUUUCCUGUCAAACGCGCAAAAACGGAUCCAACGUUUAAAUUGUGAUAAUGCAUAAUUUCGCGAUAAGGCGCCGCGAUCCGUCAGUUAUAUUUAUAAGUACGAAACGUAUGCACGAUUUGACACACCUUAUUGCUGAUAAGGCUCGAAUAAAUUUUUCCACAGCGAUACGAGAGAGCUGGUCCUCUUGAUCGCGCGGGAGAAACGGUACGGUCGCGCGAAAAAAAAAAAAAGAAAAAUACGACAAUAAAGGAUCGACGAACGUACGAGUUGAAAUGAAAUAUCGUUGACCGUGAGUUAUGGAGCGGAUCGAAUUUAUGGGUUUUAACUCACCUAACUGUUCGGUAAUAUAAUUAACGUGUAAAACGCAACGCGCGUCAUUUAGGUAGACGGGCUGCCUCGCAUGACGAAUGAGAGUCUUCUAAGAUUUACUAUCUGUUGUAUUCGAUAAUUACGUCGAUAAAAAAGUAAGUGGUAAUAAUCAGGUGAAGUAAUUAUAGUCGUUUACCUGCGUAUUAGACAUAAUUCGAAUCUGUUUCAUAACACAUCAACGGCGCAUAAUACAAAAUAACAAGUACACAGGUUGCGCUAAAGUGUCUAAAAAAUUCAUUUGAAAAUAAUUUUGUCCGACCGAAAAUAACUAUAACAAACGAUCAAGUGUAACGAGCAAUACUGAUAAAAACUUUGACACUUUAACAACCAGUUUAACCGUCCUUUAUAGUUAUUUACUUUCAUCUGCGGUCGGCUAAAUCUUUUUAGAUGCCUCGGUAAAAUCGUUCCUUCCGUUCAACAGGACCAAGGCUAACGAAAUUAACGAGCAAGCGAUCGAAAACACGGAUAAAAAUCUCGCGGUUCCCACACAGCCGAAGAGGGAAAAGCUUGCCCGACAGCUUGUCACGUUCCUCGGUAUUGUUUGUGAAAGACUAGAAAUCGAAAGUCGAUAGGAGUCGCACGGAGGCGAAUUAAGCGCACGUCGACGAACGGCGUCGUCGCGCGAAACAGGUAGCGUUAUCAGAUAUCCGCGGCUAUAUCUUCAUGUUGUACAAACAUUACUGGUAACACACAACGUAGUAAUAUUGUGAUUGUUCGCCGCUCCCCCACGAGAGAGUGCGUCAAUUUUAGCCGCGCCGCGCCGACAGGCUAUAGUAGUGCCAAGGCCGUGCCGUUGGCUUUUCUCUCGAUCCGCCAUCGCCAUCGCUAUUUCGAGGAUUUUCUUCAAUUCGUCGCGCGGCACCAAAACUAUGUAUCGGCGUCCGCCAAUUUCGCCCGACUCGAAAUGACACUUUGCAGGUGUCCGCGCGAAGAUUAAUGUUAUUUCCUCGAUUCGUUUUUCCCCCUCGUCCUUUUUUUUUUCUUGCUCUCGGAUUAAUCUGGGAACAGCAGUGACAAUAUUUCCGCCGACGAAGAGUGACUCGCAAUUAUUAUUAAUUAGAUGGAGUUUACUGUUAUUUGCAAUUUAACAUUAAUAUUGAAUAUCGCGUACAUUAAUGAAGCUAAAUAUUAUGUUAAUUAAUUUAGAGCAGCGUGAUAAAUCACCGUGGAAAAUACACAGAAUGUCGGACGUAACGUAUUCAAUAUGUAUUUUUAUACGGUUUUUUUAUGCUAAUUUCUUCUCAGUUAAAUAAACCCUUCUAAUCUAAACUUUUUAUAACUCAAGAUUUAAUUGCUAGAAGCAUUCAAUAUCGACCAUGUCAAAGAACAACUAUUCCCUUUGAAAUUUUUAUUUAGAAAAGAAUUAAUUUCAGCACGCCGGAAAAUAUAUCAUUGAAAUUACGCUCGGGAGUUUUAUGACACUUUGUGUUAUGCCACGAAGAGAGUUAAAUAUAAUUUAUCAAGAACGGCAAAAAUACUCUUUCGUUGCACAACGCAACUUGCGAUAAAGUUUCGUUGACGCAGAAGCGAUCCCGUGUGUGUGUGUGUGUGUGUGUGUGUGUGUGUGUGUGUGUGUGUGUGUGUGUGUGUGUGUGUGUGUGUGUGUGUGUGUGUGUGUGUGUGUGUGUGUGUGUGUGUGUGUGUGUGUGUGUGUGUGUGUGUGUGUGUGCGUGUGUGUGUACCGACGAUGUACACCAAUACACAGGCACGAAAUCUCGUAUCCGUCACCAUGCCAGCAGCACCGUUAACAUCGUGUCACACGUCGGUGUCAGUAACAUCAAUGUCUAGGGUUACCAGGGCCUUUUAAUCGGUCCGUUGUCCAAUUUGUUUUAACAUGCCUUCUGUCAUUUUCCACUUAACCAACUAUCGCGUCAACAUAAAUUGAGAAACGUUUCGAUUAUUAUCGCGGGUAAUAACGACGAGACACAAUCGCGGAAACUUAGCGCCUCCGGACAACUUGUGCGAAACUCAUCCCGAUUUUGUCCGCGGCACGCAUAAUUUUUUUUACUGUAAACAACCUUAAUGAGACCGUUCGAUCAAUUCGCCUCGCGAACACUCGCGCCUGUGCAAUGACUUGGCCCUCCGGGAUUUUGUGCCGCGUCACGGUUGCGGAUUUCAUACGAUCGAUAGAAUCUCCUUUCGAGCGAGGCGAACUUAUAUCCUCACAUCGGGAAGUAACCCGAUUUCCGGUAGUGUGCUCGACCCACUUGUUUCAGUCCCCCGCACGGUAACUCUAUCCGCAUUGAUCAUGUCGUGCAUCGUCAUGAUUAUCGAUUCCCGCGCCCGUCUCUAUCCAAUAAAAAAAAAAAUAAUCGCGAUCAUCCUACGCAACGGAGGAAGCGACGUGUAAUAUCGCGUGAACGGUGAUUCGAGGCCCCGGUCGUUACCGUGACAAUGGCGCGAGCACGAAUACGUUUUUCCGGCUUCACCCACUCUUGUUGCCAAGCUGACGCUCCCUCGAUUACGCGCGACAAGAUUCAGCCGAUGCACGCGAAAAAAAAACGUUAUUGAAAAAAAUCGCAACAGAUAUUUCAAUUUUUUAAUUUAAAUACACGCACAAAAAAAACAGACGUAAGCUUAUAACAGUGAAUUAAAUCAGAACGUCUCUACGUACGUAUAACGAAUUUCGGAGAAUUCUUUAAUUAAAAAGCUUCAAAUUGCAGCAACGAAAUGGAAAUAAAUGUUGGAAACGUUUCGAGAUAAUUUCGACAGCAGGAUAUUGUAAAUGUCGCUUAACCGCACGUCAUGCAGAUGCAUUUUACGUGGACGUAGGACUAGGCACGACUCCGCAAUACGGAAGAGGAUCGUGUUAUUAUGACGCUCCCCUUCGUGAUCGCGAAACGCAAAGCGGACGAUUCGGGUCGACGAUCGCCAUGCUGAGCGAAGCGACCGGCGAGGAACGACGAUGAAGUGGAUCGGAUAGGAUUGCGGAUGGGAGCGCACGCGUGUGCGAUGGAGGAGCGGACGUGGACCACACGUGGCACGCGAUAUGCGCGGGGCAUGGGGAUCUGAAUGCGGCGAAAAAGAAGAGAAAAUAAUAAUAAUAAAGAAGGGAGAGAGAGUUGAAGCACGAUGUGCGCCAUGUAAAUUAUACAAUCUUUACAAUAGGAUUUAUUUAAAUUAUAAUAUUUACAAAAAAUGAGAUUUUUUUUUUUUUUUGAUAUAUCCAUUAAUUAAUUCGAUUAACUCAUCGGCUGCACUAGAUCCGUAGGGUUAAUACAGGUCCGAUCCUCAGGGGGACGUUGCCUACGUGUACAAUCGCAUUUAUAGCGGCUAACAAUCGGCUACGAUUUACAAACAUAAUAAUCACAAGGCGAGAAAAAUCCUCACUUUACAAUAUACUCCUCGAUGCAAAAUAGCGAUAAUAUUGGUUUUUUGUAUUUUUUUUUCCUCCCCCUCUCUCUCUUUCUCUCAUUAAUUCUUUUGUAUGUUGUGUAUUUUUUAUAUUUUUACUUUUAUACUCACAGGUAUAUCCCUAUCGUGUCCCUAUACACGUACAGACAAGUUUAAAUACUUCACUCGUACGAACUUUGGCGUAACAUCGUUAGCGGACAAUUACUAUUAUUAUCAUUAUCUCUUUUUAUUAUUAUUAAUAUUAUUAUUAACGUUAUUCGCCGUGCACACACACGAUCCUCGUCUCCGGCGCGUAAAAACGAUCUGGUGCGUGUGCUCUUUCUCUUUCUCUUUCUCUCUCUCUCUCUCUCUCACUCUCUCGCAUCCUCUCGAUUUUCGCAAACGUGGCGAAACGCAAAUCGCUUCACGAGUCGCAUCGCUUUGUUUUUCGCUCUCGCACUCGCGAAUCCGCUCGCAAGUACACUCCUCCUUCGCUCUUCUUAUCAUCGUUUAUCUAACAUCGCUAUAAAACUGACGGAAAUCAGAGAGUUCUUCGAUAAACCAACUAAAGUCCCGUGAUUGCUGCAAGUUCAAGCGGCAAAUUCCACUUCAGACCCGCGCGUUGCUGCUUAUUCAUAAUGCGCACGUAACUUUCGUUUAUUUCUGCCGUGCGUAUCCGAAAGACGAGGUCUCGGAUAUCUCGGGGAGACGACGACGUCUCCCGCAUCGUAACUGCUUCGCGAGCUAUGACGAAUAAUCGGGCAUACUCCCAUGCACGCACAUACAUAUAAUAAAGUACACAGGUAUAUGUACCUGUAUCGACGUUGCGAUUCGACCGCAUUAUGAAUUCACAAUUCGCUGGAUAUGUGAAAGAGGAGCGUAAUCGGAAUUCGAUCGCGGCACACCCGCGAGCGCUGCGAGAACGAUCAUUCAUUCCGAAAAAAAAAAAACGUAGCGGAACCAUCCCGAUGAAAAGAUCGGCCGGGGCGUGGAGCGGAGGGAGGAGGGAUGAUGUUGCUCCUCGCGCCGAUUUUUCCGAUCUCGACCUCUCUCGCAAUUUCGAGUUUCCGCUCCGUACAAUCUGGUAUACAAUCUGGCCACGUGGUUUCUCACGUGGUGGCUGAGGUGCCACUCGAACCAGCGUCAGUUAUGAUCGCGAGUUCGCAGAAGCCUCGCGAGAGAGAGAGCGACGAACAAUCUGGGAUGGACGCGCUACGCGACCGCAGUGGACGUUUUUCGUCCUUCUUGGUAGGAACGUGUGUAACAGAUAUACGUGCCAAUCGCCGCGCGAUCCUUCCAAGAGUGCACGGAUUGAAGACACACACACAUACACACGUGUGCACGCACAUACAUACAUACCCGCACACCCGCACGCAUUUAUAUGUAAUAUAUAUGUACGCACGCACGCAGGCACGCACGCCAAGAAAAUCGAUUAAAUCAGUGCGGGUACAGCAGAUUAACUCGGAUUUCGUUAUUUCUUAAAGGAGCCUUUACAUACUUCACAGUAAUAUAAAUCAGAUCUCUAAAUAAUGUUACCGAACCUCUACAGAUCGCCUAUCUUCUCCUUCUCCCUCUCUCUCUCUCUCUCUUUCCUCCUCUGUGAUUACGUAUUGAUGUCCAUUUAAAAAUACCGCAGCUGUAAUCUUUACAGAGGUAUGUUUCACUUGGUCAAGAACAAUCCUCGUUUAUUCUACUGCUCUAAGUACAUGCAUUGCGUCGAUUUUGCGUCCACUUAAAACCUUAAUUGGUCCGAUGGAAUCACGGCCGUCAACAUUGCCAAUCUCAUUAAAAUUAUGAAUAUUUUGUAUAACAUUGUCAUAACGUUUGUCCCUAAUUUCAUAUAAUACAGAUAAUCCGAAUAUUAUAUAAGCUUUCCAAUCGUCAUUCCUUUUAAUAAUAUAAUAUUGUCAUUUAUUGAUAACACGUCUUCUGCGUUAAUUUCGUUUCACAACGCGUUCACCCUUUUUGUCUAUAUCGCAUCGUGAUAUAUCCGUAAAUAUAUUACAGUUUCCUCUUUGUCAUACCAGAAUCCCAUUUCCAAAAAUAAGCAAUAUUUGGGUCGUGACUCUCGACAAAUAUGCACAAUGUUAUUUCGACGGACCAAUUAACGCUGUAGGUUGACUGUUUUCGCAAAUGCGUUUAAUUCUCAAAGCAAACAACUCGCGAUGCAUCGCGAGCAUCAUGCGCAUCCCGGAUGAAAACAUCAGUUUAGGGACAACAAAAAGGGGUCGAAAAUAAAAUUUCCAGCGGGCGGGAAUUUAUCUACCCUAUUUCGCUCUCCCUCUCCCUGCUCUCCUCCCACGGCGCUGAUUGACGCGACACAAAAAACACCGAAACACCUCGGUCCGCCGUGUAUUUUUCGCUCGCGCGUAUUUUUCGCGUUAUACAUCGCGAAACGCGUACCUUCGCUUUCUCGCCGUAUCAAUGAUUUCGCGCGCGAUUCUGUCGAUGUUUAUCACCGAGUAUACGCGAGUCUUCGUUGUAUCGAAAUUCCGCGGAUGACAGAAUGUGAACGACACAGAAACGGCGGUCUCGCGAAUGCACGCGAUCAAAUUGUUCGCGCGUAUACGCAUCCGCGUGCGUAAUCGGGUGGCACUUGAGGCGUGUCGUGCAUUCGAUUAAAUAUUUACCGAUCCGAAUCAUUAACACCCGACGGGACAGAAUGACGGCGGAUAAAUUCCCGGCUGACGAAGGAAAAUUUCGCUCGCCUUCUCGACCGCGAGCCGUUUCCCCGUGGAAAAAUACUCGACAUUAAUCCCAGCAGGACCAAAAGGCAGAGCCCAAUGUUAGCCACUUUUCAAGAUUUCUUUAUAAUUUUAUAUUUGUAAUUAAUCGUACUUUUAUUCAUUAUACUUUUUUACAUUUCUGCUCGUUAUAAAAAUUUUACAAUGCACGCACUUCUGAAAACCGCUACAUGCUUUUACAUCACAUUAUUAUUUAACAUCACAUUGUUACGCGCAACUAAUUCUAACAAUUUCUUCUCCCUACAGUCUCUCAGUCCGUUAUAAUCGCCCAUCGCGAUUCAAAGCUCCUUCUGCUAGGAUUAAUCUCGGACAAAGAUGUCUUCGUUGCACAUCUUCAGUUCGACGAUUGUAACUGAUUGUCAUCUCUCGUGUCAAGAUCGAACGCGGCUUUUAACGCAAACGAGAAUCCAAACAUAUCCAGCAUAAAAUGCGACACAGAAUGAAGAUAUAACAGCCACAUACAUACCAGCUUUAUCGAGAACGAAGCAAUUGUGUCUAGAAAUGUUGGUGUUGGCCGAUUAUGUCACACGAUUAUGCACACACGCGUAAAUGCGAUUUUAAUGCUUUCAAAGUAUAAAUAGAUUUCCGCGAGCGUCGCGUCGCCGCGGAACUCUUCGCUCACGAUUAACGUGGAAAUCAUUUUCUCACAUCAACGUAAUCCCCGCGGAUACACAAGAUUUCCGAAGAAAAAGUUUUCAAUAGGAGAUUCUACAUGAAUUGGCGUGAAUGUCCUUUGGUAGAAUUUUUCAGGAAAGGAAAGGUCAAGCUGUUGUAGAAAUACUUUAUGAAAUAAUUUAGAAUUCAGGAUUUUCUCGGAAUUAUUCUUAAAUAAACAAGUGUCGAAUAACAGAUUUUCCUUCCAAAAAUCAAUCUCAUUUACAUAAUGGAAAAUUUUAUCUCUCCGAACUACAAAAUUUAAGUUUCGAACUUCGAUACUCUCGUCGAAAAAACAGUCAACAUCAGGUCGUUUAAGAAAAAAAAAAAAAAAAAA
Long non-coding RNA from Monomorium pharaonis (pharaoh ant), 15840 nucleotides. RefSeq lists it as uncharacterized. The transcript is spliced from 2 exons. The record is from RefSeq and is a predicted model, not a curated record. Lineage: Eukaryota; Metazoa; Arthropoda; Insecta; Hymenoptera; Formicidae.